RNAcentral lists this ribosomal RNA (465 nucleotides) under uncultured bacterium. RNAcentral describes it as "bacterial SSU rRNA". It matches the Rfam family "Bacterial small subunit ribosomal RNA", at positions 331 to 792 of the family's 1533-position model. The record is from RNAcentral.
CCAGACUCCUACGGGAGGCAGCAGUGAGGAAUAUUGGUCAAUGGGCGCGAGCCUGAACCAGCCAAGUCGCGUGAGGGAUGACGGUCCUACGGAUUGUAAACCUCUUUUGCCGGGGAGCAAGCGUGCGUUCGUGAACGCGCGUCGAGAGUACCCGGAGAAAAAGCAUCGGCUAACUCCGUGCCAGCAGCCGCGGUAAUACGUAGGUGGCAAGCGUUGUCCGGAUUUACUGGGUGUAAAGGGCGUGUAGCCGGGAAGGCAAGUCAGAUGUGAAAUCUGGAGGCUCAACCUCCAAAUUGCAUUUGAAACUGUUUUUCUUGAGUACUGGAGAGGCAGACGGAAUUCCUUGUGUAGCGGUGAAAUGCGUAGAUAUAAGGAGGAACACCAGUGGCGAAGGCGGUCUGCUGGACAGCAACUGACGGUGAGGCGCGAAAGCGUGGGGAGCAAACAGGAUUAGAUACCCGUGUA